Molecule: long non-coding RNA, 241 nt
Filed under: Elaeis guineensis (African oil palm)
Lineage: Eukaryota; Viridiplantae; Streptophyta; Magnoliopsida; Arecales; Arecaceae
Description: long non-coding RNA (EGUI_LNC059085)
Source: RNAcentral
UGAUGUUCUGGAUAUUCCUGACCUUGGGAUGGUCAGUAAUAAUGAGAAGGCAAAAGAUAUCCUUAAGGAUAUCAUCUAUUCAUUUUGUGACAAAUUUGAUCAUUGGGGGUAUAAUUAUAAGAAUAAUUUUGCCAGUUUGAAGCAGGGUGUAAGUAUAGCACUAAAAGGUGUGUAUAUGAUACAAACCUACUUUUUAUUGAGUGGCUCAAACUCUGAUACUUGGAUAUUAGAUACCACCUAU